Molecule: non-coding RNA, 101 nt
Organism: Podospora conica
Lineage: Eukaryota; Fungi; Ascomycota; Sordariomycetes; Sordariales; Podosporaceae
Source: the annotation of a GenBank genome assembly
GGCAGCUUGGCCGAGUGGUCUAAGGCGGCGCAUUUAAGCUUGACGUGAUUGUUAGCUCUGCGCUCUCGAGAGAGGCGCGGGUUCGAACCCCGUAGCUGCCA